Molecule: ribosomal RNA, 134 nt
Filed under: Salmonella enterica subsp. enterica serovar Infantis
Lineage: Bacteria; Pseudomonadati; Pseudomonadota; Gammaproteobacteria; Enterobacterales; Enterobacteriaceae
Also listed under: 4 other names
Description: partial 23S ribosomal RNA
Rfam family: Bacterial large subunit ribosomal RNA
Source: RNAcentral
GGGUUGUGAGGUUAAGCGACUAAGCGUACACGGUGGAUGCCCUGGCAGUCAGAGGCGAUGAAGGGCGUGCUAAUCUGCGAUAAGCGCCGGUAAGGUGAUAUGAACCGUUAUAACCGGCGAUACCCGAAUGGGGA